AUUGAACGCUGGCGGCAGGCCUAACACAUGCAAGUCGAGCGGAUGAAGGGAGCUUGCUCCUGGAUUCAGCGGCGGACGGGUGAGUAAUGCCUAGGAAUCUGCCUGGUAGUGGGGGAUAACGUCCGGAAACGGGCGCUAAUACCGUAUACGUCCUGAGGGAGAAAGUGGGGGAUCUUCGGACCUCACGCUAUCAGACGAGCCUAGGUCGGAUUAGCUAGUUGGUGGGGUAAAGGCCUACCAAGGCGACGAUCCGUAACUGGUCUGAGAGGAUGAUCAGUCACACUGGAACUGAGACACGGUCCAGACUCCUACGGGAGGCAGCAGUGGGGAAUAUUGGACAAUGGGCGAAAGCCUGAUCCAGCCAUGCCGCGUGUGUGAAGAAGGUCUUCGGAUUGUAAAGCACUUUAAGUUGGGAGGAAGGGCAGUAAGUUAAUACCUUGCUGUUUUGACGUUACCAACAGAAUAAGCACCGGCUAACUUCGUG
This 484-nucleotide ribosomal RNA is filed under the name uncultured bacterium. RNAcentral's name for it is "partial 16S ribosomal RNA". It matches the Rfam family "Bacterial small subunit ribosomal RNA", at positions 30 to 507 of the family's 1533-position model. The record is from RNAcentral.